UGUGUUUGAUGUGUUCGUUGUGAUUUGAAUUUUAUUGUGUUAUUCCCUACGUUUUGACUUGUUUACGGACUUUUUGAUCUUCUAUGUGUUACGACAUCAUCUGGCUUGUUACUUGGACCCCGGACUGAUUGCAUGACUGUUAACUUGGCUCUUUAUUAUACGGAUUACAAUUUUUGCAAUUUUGAUUAAGUACUUAUUUUAAAAUGCCGAAAUCAGCUGAAUUAAAAUGUUAUUUCAAAUGUGAUAUUGAUGGACCCUUACAUCGCUUUCCCAAAUGGGAAUAUCCUCAUACAUAGAAGUUAAACCAAUGAAAAUUUUGAAAUUUUGAUAGAAAUGAUCAUGUUAAAAAACAAGCAUCCGAUUAUUAUAAUAAAAGAUGAAAAUAAACAAUAGUUUUAUAAAUUCUA
This is a long non-coding RNA of Melitaea cinxia (Glanville fritillary), 407 nucleotides long. RefSeq lists it as uncharacterized. The record is from RefSeq and is a predicted model, not a curated record. The transcript has 2 exons. NCBI's taxonomy places the organism in Eukaryota, Metazoa, Arthropoda, Insecta, Lepidoptera, Nymphalidae.